AAGGUAACCGUAAAUAAGGGGGUCCCCAUAAAGGGAACGUACCUUUUGGUUCGGAACAACACAGGGAAACUUGUGCUAAUACCGGAUAAGCCCUUACGGGGAAAGAUUUAUCGCCGAAAGAUCGGCCCGCGUCUGAUUAGCUAGUUGGUGAGGUAAUGGCUCACCAAGGCGACGAUCAGUAGCUGGUCUGAGAGGAUGAUCAGCCACAUUGGGACUGAGACACGGCCCAAACUCCUACGGGAGGCAGCAGUGGGGAAUAUUGGACAAUGGGCGCAAGCCUGAUCCAGCCAUGCCGCGUGAGUGAUGAAGGCCCUAGGGUUGUAAAGCUCUUUUGUGCGGGAAGAUAAUGACGGUACCGCAAGAAUAAGCCCCGGCUAACUUCGUGCCAGCAGCCGCGGUAAUACGAAGGGGGCUAGCGUUGCUCGGAAUCACUGGGCGUAAAGGGUGCGUAGGCGGGUCUUUAAGUCAGGGGUGAAAUCCUGGAGCUCAACUCCAGAACUGCCUUUGAUACUGAAGAUCUUGAGUUCGGGAGAGGUGAGUGGAACUGCGAGUGUAGAGGUGAAAUUCGUAGAUAUUCGCAAGAACACCAGUGGCGAAGGCGGCUCACUG
Molecule: ribosomal RNA, 609 nt
Filed under: bacterium
Lineage: Bacteria
Description: bacterial SSU rRNA
Rfam family: Bacterial small subunit ribosomal RNA
Source: RNAcentral